UUUUAGAAGUCACAUGAUUAGUUGAAUGGAGAUCACCUAUGUGUAUGUUCACACAAAACAAUGGUCGUUGAGUCUUCCAAAAACUGGCAGAUGGACCUUUUCAGUGUUUCAGUUUUUUUUCCUGUUUAAGAAAGAAGAAAAUGUCACCUAUCCAGUGGCGGUGCUCAUCCUUCCAACUGCUCUUCUUCUCCUCCCUCCCUCCUCCCCGCAGCUGUCCUGUGGGAUGUGAUGAUGCUCUGACAGGCUUGGUGUCUGUUCUUGGAGGUGCUGGUAUUUUCGUGCCACAGCGGCGGGGGCUGGUACAGGAAUAGGGCCGGAGUUGUAGUGUGUAGUGGGAGUGGAAGCUGGGGAGGGCUGGGAUGGUUUAAGACAGUACUGUGAGAUUUUAAGCCAUUGUAUAGACACAGGAGGGAGACCAGGGGAGGAUUGCGUAAGUCGGCUCCCUGGCUGCAAAUUUAGCCUGGGCCUGCUCACGCAAUAAUUUGAUGAGCAGUACUAUCUCAGUCGUCAGAGCCGGGGUAUUUAAAGAUGUGAGUGUGUGUUGUCAUGGGAUGUGGGGUGUAUUUAUUAUGCGUGUUUAUUUACAACCCAUGAAGAUAGCUGAUCAUUUGUGAUGGAAAGAGUGGCAUUUGCAUCUACAGUACAGCACCUCUCCCUGCUACUCUGCUCUCUGUUCCUCAUCCUGUGUUUUGUAGUCUGUCACUGAAACUCCUUUUUACUUCUCCUCCAACUUCACGACAUUAAUAAACUUGGACAGCAACAAGAGAUCUUUGAGGUUAAUAAUAUAAAUAAAUUUUAGCCCUUCUA
Molecule: long non-coding RNA, 807 nt
Organism: Perca flavescens (yellow perch)
Lineage: Eukaryota; Metazoa; Chordata; Actinopteri; Perciformes; Percidae
Exons: 2
Source: RefSeq, a predicted model, not a curated record